CUUCAACCCGAUUCAAAUCCGCCGCUGCGCUAGUCCCGCGAGAGUUGGUAGUUGUUCGCCAAUCGGGAGAGCCCCGAGGAGCAGUUCUGUUUUGAUUGGCUGGCUGCCGCCGCCCCACCCCUGAUCCCGCCUCCCUCUCUCUAGCUGAAACUCUCUGCCCUCAGCAAGCUCUUUGUUGAGCGCGAAAGUCAAACGAGCAGGAGAGCUUUGGGAAUGGCCCGGGCCAGCGUAGCGACGCAAACUGCGUAAGCGUGAGAAUGGGAGAAGCAGAAAGGUUUUUGUUGUUAAGGGAGAUGUAAGGAGGCGCCAAAUGGGUAGUGGAUUAGUUUUGCCCGUUCGAAGUUAGCUGCUACGGACUAUAUACCUAAAGAUCGAUGAGUUUUGUGGCACUUUGGAAGCUCAGACAUUUAUUGUGGCAUAAACUCUGCCGGAUUGGAAUUGCUCGUAUCAUCAUUCAGUGCAAGGCAAUGCAAAUGAUGCCAUUAAAUGUGAAGAGCAUGGGAUUGGAUCUGUGCAGAUUGUUAAGAGAUGUGUGGUUAUGGAAAUGAGGAGAAAAGGAGUGCCCAUUCAUUGGUGAUGUUGGCUGAUCUGCAGGAACCCAUCCUACAUUAAGGCUGCAAUCCUAUACACCUUUACAUGAGAGUUUGAUCACCUUUUGGGGGAAAUUGCUUGCCCAGCCUUGUUCACCAUUCACUUGCAACAGAAUUCAAGCACUUACGAGGAUUCACAGGAAAGUUUCAAUAAGGGAUACCUGAGGAAAUAGAUGCUGGGCCUCCGCAAUAUUUUCAUUAAGUGGUACGCCCUUAGGGCUGGUCUUGCCCAAAUUUGAAGUGAAUCCCCUAUUGUUUCUUGUUUCAUGCCACUCUAUAUUUUUCAUUACCCUGACAAUACUUCACAUUAUUAUGAUGCCAUUAUUUAGUAUGUUUCCCCCCUCAAAGCUCAAUAUAGCUUCGUGUCUGUGCUUAUUUUCCUACACGUCAAAAAACCUGCAGAUGAAGGUGAGGCUGACCAGCUUUAGGCAUCCCUUUCUCUUUGAAGCAUGGCCAGCGGAACAUGUUCCUUCAGCAUGUUAAAUAAAACUAGGCCUCCAGUUUCCUGCCAAAACACUAUGGAAGUAAAUCAAGACCAACCCGGUAUAUUUUCUUUACACCUCAUUACUAUUUCCCUAAGUAUUUUCUGGGAUGAGCAUUAACUUGAAACAAGCCUGGUUUAUAAUCCUGUAAAAUCUGAAAUCACACACAUUGGGACUUUUGGAUACAUAAAGAAAUAUUCAAAUUAAUUUGAAUAAACGGAGAGGUUUUGCUAUCAUCCCUGCUGUCAGCACUGCAAAACCCUCAGCUUAUGCCUGAACUUCAGGCUGCAGUGGUUCCUGCUGGGCUGUGUGGGUGACGUGCACUGGCAUGAGUUCUAUGCACGUUCCACAACUAAAGAGUGACAUCGAGCUCCCUACAUGGGGUGGUAAAUCUCUGUUGUAGCACUAGGAAGCUAGAAUGAAGAAACAAGCUAAGUCACAUCAAGCAAUUGGGUUGGAAGCCAGGAUGCAGUGUGACAGGAAAAAAACAACCCAUAAUCAAACAUCGCAAGCACAAAUUUGAAGGGGAGGGGGAAGUUUAGAAUAGUAGUUAAGGUCAGCAGACGCCAAUGAACUGAGAUAGGACCGAGAUGGGGAGGUCUUCCAAACUGAGAAAGUGGUCCACAAGACAUUUUUUGCCAUUUCCAAAGGUGACUUUGAGGCAGGUGAAACCCAUUUAGGACUCUCAAAUAAGAACAGGGGAUGUUGUAAGCAAAGCAACUCCUCCUUAUGUAUACAUCCCUCCCGGAGUGAUUAACUGUUUUCCAUUUAUUAUUAAGAGUAUUAAGCUUGUGUAUUUUUUAAAAUAAACUGUAGGGGGUGGGGAUUGUGUGAACUGGCUUUCCGUUGAAUCAAAUAGGCAUAAAUUCUCUUUUAAAGUCCUGGAAUUAAUCUUGGAUCACUGAAGCCAGUGUUUUUGAAGCUUUGAAGUUUUAAUUAUUUCCCCGAAAUGGUGUCACUCCAUGACAAAUGUAAAGCUUCUCUAAAAAGGUUAAUCCUUUUUUUCUAACUGCAUCAUAAAGGUAAAAGGAAAAGAAAAAGGCAAAACAGUUGAAACAUCAAAGCCCUAAGUCACAUUAACUUACAGAUGUAAUAAUAAUACCAAAGUGGUAAGCAGCUUCCAUAAGUGGAUAUUUAUCUUUGGAGUCAUAAGCUGAUUGAGGUGUUUCCCAGAUAAUCCAUUCCUAUUUUAAGCACUGAUUAGUGCAAAUGUUAAGUUAAUGCAAACCAUGCUUCAUCCUUAAUUGAUCUAGAAGGAAGCCAAUCCUAUCUAGUGGUUUAUCACCACAUUGUAAAUUUCAAGUUAAACAACCAGUACUUAAAAGGAGCAAUUUAUCAGCACAGGAUCUUCUGGAAGUGUCCGGUUUGCCUUCUUCCUCUGUAUAGUUCUGUUUUGCUAAUUCCCCCAUUACAAGCAAUGAGAGACUCUGUCUGUUUUUGCUGCACUAAAUAGCUUUUGUGAUGCAUGUAGACAAAUGUUGUGCUCUCACAGUGGCUGCCACAUCCACUGGGAAGGAGAAACAGGGAAAAUAGAUGGCAGAUGGAGCUGAAGUGACAAUUCCUCCUGGAGCUUCUUAUAUCCUGAACAGUGGAUGGGAAAUGUAAAAGUCAGUGCUGAAAUUUAAUAGGUUCCUUGUCACAAGUCCCAUUUAUGUUAUGAAAAGUCUCAGACGCUGUGUCUUCGCCCACUUUGUAUAAUUUUCAGUACAUUGGAAAGGUCAAAGCUCUUUGAAAUCAUUUCCAGGAGAUUUUCAUCGCUUUCCACUCCGCUGAUGAACUCUUCUAAACUCAAUUCCCCUAGAAUAAAAAAA
Podarcis muralis (Common wall lizard) is the source of this 2883-nucleotide long non-coding RNA. RefSeq lists it as uncharacterized. The record is from RefSeq and is a predicted model, not a curated record. Lineage: Eukaryota; Metazoa; Chordata; Lepidosauria; Squamata; Lacertidae.